GCACUAGCCAAGAAGAGCAUACUCUCUCAAGAAUGAACAUCUUCAAAAAAGAGCCCCAGUGGACCUCCCCAGCAGCCAUCUGCGGAUUAGAAACUCAACCUGCAGGCCCAGAUGUGGGUUGAGUCAGCUACGGGACUCGGAGAAGUUCAAGUUGAUGAGAACAAGAUGCUUGGCAAUGUCCUGGGCUCAAAUGCAGAACACAGUCAACUACCAGAAACUUUGAAAUCACCCCCCAAACAUCUGUCUUCUCAUCGUAAAUCAUGGCUGAAAAUUCAAAUGAAGCAAAUUUGAACCAAAAAUAGCCCUGACUUACCAUCAUGCUGAUUUCUAAGUGAACUUUCUAGUGAACAACCACCUACCAGCAUAUCAGCACAAUGACGUAAAAAGGAAAAACAUUAGCAUUUUCCAAUCCAGUCAACGGAUGAAGCACAGAAAAGCCAUUUGGACAGAAGCAAAGGUCUCCAAGAACAAGUCAGCCAUGCUGUUAAUAUCCCAAAGCUAGAGAAAUCUGUUCCAUGCCAGGGCCAUAUUGGAAGUUUAGAGGGAGAAUGGCAUGGAAAAACAAAAGAUCCCUGGGAUCCACUGAGGAUUGCUGGGCGAAAAUGGAAUUUGGGCUGUGAGGUGAGAAGUAUUCAGGCUGACCUCUGCAGGAUACAGCAGUAGCCAUUUGAAGUGCUUGCACUCCAGCAGGAUGCUAAGCUCCCCCAUAGAGCUCCGCACAUGAGCUCACCCCUAAUCCCUGGUGCCUUCCAUCUCUCUGGUCUGCUUGGAACAAGUCCUUCUUCCAAGCAGGGCACUACUUGCCACAGUUGCUGUACCUCUGGCUCAGAAAGCAACCCCUGACCAAAUCCUCCCUUGAGUCAACUUCACCCGGGCUCCUGAAAGCCCUGGCUGUCCAUCUUUGUCACAUCUGUACUGUAUGUACCACUUUAGCAAGAAACAGACUGAGUAAGUUUAGAAAGAACCUCUCUCUACUCCGGGGGGCUGGCCCAGUCUCCCCAAGGCAGGUCCAAUAGCAUCCACUUUGUAAUCAGAACCCCUGAUAGCUUCAUGUUGAAAGAAGAAGAAAAAAAAAUCAA
Molecule: non-coding RNA, 1079 nt
Organism: Peromyscus maniculatus bairdii (prairie deer mouse)
Lineage: Eukaryota; Metazoa; Chordata; Mammalia; Rodentia; Cricetidae
Source: RefSeq, a predicted model, not a curated record